RNAcentral lists this ribosomal RNA (1397 nucleotides) under Lactiplantibacillus pentosus. Its description in RNAcentral is "bacterial SSU rRNA". It matches the Rfam family "Bacterial small subunit ribosomal RNA". Lineage: Bacteria; Bacillati; Bacillota; Bacilli; Lactobacillales; Lactobacillaceae. The record is from RNAcentral.
ACGAACUCUGGUAUUGAUUGGUGCUUGCAUCAUGAUUUACAUUUGAGUGAGUGGCGAACUGGUGAGUAACACGUGGGAAACCUGCCCAGAAGCGGGGGAUAACACCUGGAAACAGAUGCUAAUACCGCAUAACAACUUGGACCGCAUGGUCCGAGUUUGAAAGAUGGCUUCGGCUAUCACUUUUGGAUGGUCCCGCGGCGUAUUAGCUAGAUGGUGGGGUAACGGCUCACCAUGGCAAUGAUACGUAGCCGACCUGAGAGGGUAAUCGGCCACAUUGGGACUGAGACACGCCCAACUCUACGGGAGGCAGCAGUAGGGAUCUCACAAUGACGAAGUCUGAUGAGCACGCGCGUGAGGUGAAGAAGGGUUUCGGCUCGUAAAACUCUGUGUUAAAGAAGAACAUAUCUGAGAGUAACUGUUCAGGUAUUGACGGUAUUUAACCAGAAAGCCACGGCUAACUACGUGCCAGCAGCCGCGGUAAUACGUAGGUGGCAAGCGUUGUCCGGAUUUAUUGGGCGUAAAGCGAGCGCAGGCGGUUUUUUAAGUCUGAUGUGAAAGCCUUUCGGCUCAACCGAAGAAGUGCAUCGGAAACUGGGAAACUUGAGUGCAGAAGAGGACAGUGGAACUCCAUGUGUAGCGGUGAAAUGCGUAGAUAUAUGGAAGAACACCAGUGGCGAAGGCGGCUGUCUGGUCUGUAACUGACGCUGAGGCUCGAAAGUAUGGGUAGCAAACAGGAUUAGAUACCCUGGUAGUCCAUACCGUAAACGAUGAAUGCUAAGUGUUGGAGGGUUUCCGCCCUUCAGUGCUGCAGCUAACGCAUUAAGCAUUCCGCCUGGGGAGUACGGCCGCAAGGCUGAAACUCAAAGGAAUUGACGGGGGCCCGCACAAGCGGUGGAGCAUGUGGUUUAAUUCGAAGCUACGCGAAGAACCUUACCAGGUCUUGACAUACUAUGCAAAUCUAAGAGAUUAGACGUUCCCUUCGGGGACAUGGAUACAGGUGGUGCAUGGUUGUCGUCAGCUCGUGUCGUGAGAUGUUGGGUUAAGUCCCGCAACGAGCGCAACCCUUAUUAUCAGUUGCCAGCAUUAAGUUGGGCACUCUGGUGAGACUGCCGGUGACAAACCGGAGGAAGGUGGGGAUGACGUCAAAUCAUCAUGCCCCUUAUGACCUGGGCUACACACGUGCUACAAUGGAUGGUACAACGAGUUGCGAACUCGCGAGAGUAAGCUAAUCUCUUAAAGCCAUUCUCAGUUCGGAUUGUAGGCUGCAACUCGCCUACAUGAAGUCGGAAUCGCUAGUAAUCGCGGAUCAGCAUGCCGCGGUGAAUACGUUCCCGGGCCUUGUACACACCGCCCGUCACACCAUGAGAGUUUGUAACACCCAAAGUCGGUGGGGUAAC